Long non-coding RNA from Gadus chalcogrammus (walleye pollock), 857 nucleotides. RefSeq lists it as uncharacterized. Lineage: Eukaryota; Metazoa; Chordata; Actinopteri; Gadiformes; Gadidae. The record is from RefSeq and is a predicted model, not a curated record. The transcript has 3 exons.
GGAUGGAGAGGGAAAGUAUGAAAAAUCAAUUGAGAGAAUUGGGUAUGCAGGAAUAUACUUUGGAAAAUAUUUUAAGAUUAAUGAAGAGGAAUUGUAUAAAAGUAUUGUUUGGCUUUUUGAGAGAUACAGGGUUAUAUGAUAGUAUAUAGAGUAGAAAGAAGGUGUGAAUGAGUGAGUGUUUGGAUAUUUUUGUUUUGAUUCAUUAACUGGAUCAGAAGAGGGCGGUAAUGCACCAAGUUGUGGAUGCCAACCGCCGUAAAACCCCAAGAAGAAGAAGAAGAAGAAGAGUACAAUCAUAACACAACCAAUGGGUGUGUUCGAAACCACCUACUUGCUUCCUACUCUUACUAACUAUGACGUCAAAUUGAGUAAGCAGAACGUAGUAAGCGAGUUUUAGGUAAGCGAGUAGUAUCCGAAUGUCUUCUACUUCCGGAAAGAUUUUGUGUAAGCAUCGCUAGCUUACUAGACGUACUCAACUGCCCCAGAAAGCACUGCGUCUAUUCAAAAGAACAUUGGAAGCAAUGGCGCUAAACGGGGAGCCGCAGCAGCAGAGCCCACAGCCAUACCGAUGAAAUUGCUGACAAUUGAAGAUGCCAGACAUUUGUGCCGCCUACGGAUGCGUUAAUCUGCGAACUCUCGAAACGAGAACCCGUGGGAUCACCUUUCACCUGUUUCCCAAAGCCAGAGCGAUGCGGAUAAAGUGGGAAAUUGCCCUAAGAAGGGACGGUUUUGCUGCCUCUGACACGACACUGCUCUGCAGCGACCACUUCAGGAGGGAGGACUUUGACAGGAUGGGGUAGACUGUCCGGCUUAAAGAUGGUGUUGUGCCAACACUUUUCAACUUUCCAGCUCAUCUU